RNAcentral lists this ribosomal RNA (254 nucleotides) under uncultured bacterium. RNAcentral describes it as "partial 16S ribosomal RNA". It matches the Rfam family "Bacterial small subunit ribosomal RNA", at positions 524 to 776 of the family's 1533-position model. The record is from RNAcentral.
UACGUAGGGUGCGAGCGUUGUCCGGAAUUAUUGGGCGUAAAGAGCUCGUAGGCGGUGUGUCACGUCGUUCGUGAAAACCUGCAGCUUAACUGUGGGCGUGCGGUCGAUACGGGCAUCACUGGAGUUCGGCAGGGGAGACUGGAAUUCCUGGUGUAGCGGUGAAAUGCGCAGAUAUCAGGAGGAACACCGGCGGCGAAGGCGGGUCUCUGGGCCGAUACUGACGCUGAGGAGCGAAAGCGUGGGGAGCGAACAGG